ACGUCCUUCACACACGAGGCCAUGACCCAGAGCCGGCGCAACCCGCUCAGCAGAGUCUGCAAAGCAGGGAGGCGCUGGCCAAGAGAGGCGCUCUCCCUGCUCUGAGACUCCGCUGCUGUGCGCUGCUGCUGCCGGCUGCCACAGCAACAAGAGGCUCGAGACCAGUCCACCAGCAGAUCUUCCCUCCCUCCUCCUACCAGCAGAACACGCAGGGGGGGGGGAUUCACUCCAUCGUCCGCACAGGCUGGCCACUUUCACUUUCUAUUCCACGUCCUGGCUGCAGCGGCAGCCUGCUUGUGAUUUAUGACAUGAAGCUGUUCUCCGUUCUCCCUGCUCUCCAGCCCUCCCCCUCUACAACAUGCUGAUGCAGGGGCUUGAGUGUGGUCAGAGCAGGCCGAGUUUAACUCUUUGAAACCUGUUUUCUAAUGUAUUGAAGAAUGCUGCUGCUAAGCCUACCAGAAGUAUAUCCAGAGUUAAAGAAAAAAAAAAAUUGGAUAAAAAGACCUUUCCAAACGCCUGCAAAGAAUGAAGGCCGGGAUCAGCAGGUAAGUUGGUCUUUAAGUUCAGAUCAUUUCCCAGGAUGCUGUUAUUCUUAACGCUUUAAUCAGGAGUGUCAAUGGAAAACGGAGUCAUGACCUUUGAAAUAAAGCACAGCGGGGCGUUAGCAGAAGCUGUGAAUACUUUAAGCACUACUGAAAAGUUUCCACGGCUUCACUGUAACAAAGCACCUUGAUAAUUCAAUGAGUGGGAGCUGCGGUUUUGUGAACAUCAUUUGGAAAUUUCUAUAUUAGAACUUGUUUGAACUGCAUUGUGCUGACAAAAGUUAGAAAUGAAAUGUCAUUCCUGCUGCUCUGGAAUUAAACACUCUCUCACACAAUAAGCAGUCUGGAACUCCCGCCGUUAGGGACUUUUAUACUUCAAGCAUACCGCAUGGGACUGUUUAUUUAAAACAAACUAUACAAAAGAAUGACUUAUUGACUAAUCCCAUGUGAUCUUUCAAACCCAUCAACAGAUAUAUUAUUUGGCCUAUAAGUUAUUUUUAAAGCACAUUUAAAGGGCCACUAAAGUUUGCUAUUUCUCUGCAGAAGUGUUUGCCUGGCAGAUUUGUUGUGAUUAUCUAGAACUGAUUCAAAGGGUUUACAACGACAAAAACAUAAAUAUAGUAUAGGGUUGUAAACCAUCGAUGGAUAACAGCCAUUGGUAGAUGAUUUUGCCAUCAAUGGUGGAAAGCCAAUGGUUUCCCACCAUCAAUGGUACUGAGACCCUCAAUGUUUCCCCCCCUGCUUCUUGGCACAGGACACAGAGCUUAGCUCAAUCCCCGACAUGACCCAAGAAACCAGGCUCCCACCUCUGAAUGGCCCACAGGCCAGUGAGUAAUACAGUGAGGAUGACCAUCGGUUGAUGAAACCAUUGAUGGACCAAUAUUUCAUGGUUUGUUACCAUCGAUGGUUCCUUGUAGUCAGUAGCGGAUCUUGCCACGGGCAAGCAGGACUUUUGCCCGGGGCGCCGCCUUCCGGAGGGCGCUGGAGCCAUCCGGAGGGCGCCGCACCAUGGCAAGAUCCGCUGCUGCUGCCAGUGCUGUGCCCCCCGCUGCCCGCUACCGCUGU
Pseudophryne corroboree (corroboree frog) is the source of this 1607-nucleotide long non-coding RNA. RefSeq lists it as uncharacterized. The record is from RefSeq and is a predicted model, not a curated record. The transcript is spliced from 3 exons. Lineage: Eukaryota; Metazoa; Chordata; Amphibia; Anura; Myobatrachidae.